UUUAUUGGUGCUUUUCACUUGUUCUUGGUUUUCCAUUCAUAAGUACUGCUUUCAUUGGAUAACUGAAAACCUCGUUUUGGUUGGAAACAUAAUCAUGCCAAACCCCACAUAAAUGGAUGUAAAGAAUUUGGAAAUAACUACUGAUGAGAUCCAAUGUUUAUGAAUGCAGGGAUCCAAGGCCUGGCUCUGAAGCACAAAGGGAUGGAGCACUGACUGAGACUCGGGCAACUGCGGUUCAGUUAGCUGCACUGGUACUUAUGAAGCCAGAUGUGCUGAUUUAUAAAGAUGGAAGAGGUUUAAUCAAUACUACUUUGUAUAAGAAACAAUGUAAAAAGAAUGCAAUACUCCAAAGAUCGAGAAUGAAUCCACAUUUUGUGCAUAAGAAUGUUUUAAAAAGUCAGUUUAUAAGAGUUGCAAGACUUGUGAAUUAUGACUAACUUUUGUCAAAUGGAUUUAUUGAAUGUGCAAUGAUGUCCUAGGGCGAGGCUGUGCACCUACUGAAAUUGUUAGUUAUUUGUGAUUUUAUGUCGAAUACACAAACUGCAGCAAAAUCAUAUUUCGGUAAGGGUUCGGCUGAAGUGAGUAGUAGACAAGCAGUUGGACAUCAUUCUCCUAGGGCUUUACCUGCUUAUUCAAGUGAUAUUAAUGAUGUAUGUAAUAUUAGGAAAAUCAGUGUAUUCUAACUGUUAAUGAUGAUUUUUAGGAAAUUACUUGGUGAUAGACCAGUGCUCUGUUUUAAAGUAAGAGAGCGCUUAAAGUUUUGCUGCAGACCUUUUGAUCGGUGCACUACAAUCUCACAAUGUAAGAGGAUGCUCCCAUGUAAUGAUUGUAAUGUACGCAGCUCUGUUUCUGGCACAUCAUGCUUUGUACAUCCAGAUACUGGCAAAUAUUAUAUUUUUGAUUUGUUUGCAGAUUAUAAAAGUACUAAUUAUGUUUAUUUAGUGGUAUGUGUAGUCUGACAGUGUUUUUGGAUUGGUAAAAAUAACCAUUCCUUCAAGGAAUAUGUGAUAGAACACUUAAAUAAUAUUAAGAAAGGUAGACCAUGAAACACUUUUGCAAAACUAGUCUUUUGAUGUUAGUCAAAGGUUUACAUUUUCUGCUAUGCAACUUGUGUAAAUAGGUUUGAAAUGUGGAGACCAUGUUAACAGGACAGAAUGUGCCAGGUUUAAAUGGGAUUUUAGAAUUACGACCAGAUUGUGGAGUGGGUUUGAAUGAUACUGCUCUUUUAAAACCCGUCCUUAGAUUAUGAGACUUAUUUUGGUGAUAUAAUGUUACUAUUGGCUUAUUUAAAAUGUGUUCUUAUUUGUUUUAUGUUUUCUGAAAAAGUGUCUUGAAUGGAGUGAAAAUACUUACUUUUUUGAAUAAAAGCCUUUUUAAUUAUA
This is a long non-coding RNA of Protopterus annectens (West African lungfish), 1382 nucleotides long. RefSeq lists it as uncharacterized. The transcript is spliced from 2 exons. The record is from RefSeq and is a predicted model, not a curated record. Lineage: Eukaryota; Metazoa; Chordata; Ceratodontiformes; Protopteridae.